AUUGAACGCUGGCGGCAGGCCUAACACAUGCAAGUCGAACGGAAGCACGGAGCUUGCUCCUGGUUUCGGGGGCGGACGGGUGAGGAAUGCCUAGGUAUCUGGCAAGUAGUGUGGGCUAACGUCCGGAAACGGGCGCUCAUACCUCAUCCGUCCUGAGGUCGAAAGGGGGGGAUCUUCGGUCCUCGCGCCCUCAGAUGAUCCUUGGUCGGAUUGGCUAGUUGGUGGGGUAAAGGCCUACCAAGGCGACGAUCCGUAACUGGUCUGAGGGGGUGACCAGGCACACUGGAACUGAGAAACGGUCCAGGCUCCUACGGGAGGCAGGAGUGGGGAAUAUUGGACAAUGGGCGGAAGCCUGAUCCAGCCAUGCCGCGUGUGUGAAGAAGGUCUUCGGAUUGGAAAGCACUUUUAGUUGGGAGGAAGAGCAGUAAGUUAAUACCUUGCUGUUUUGACGGUACCAACAGAAUAAGCACCGGCUAACUUCGUG
RNAcentral lists this ribosomal RNA (484 nucleotides) under uncultured bacterium. RNAcentral describes it as "partial 16S ribosomal RNA". It matches the Rfam family "Bacterial small subunit ribosomal RNA", at positions 30 to 507 of the family's 1533-position model. The record is from RNAcentral.